RNAcentral lists this ribosomal RNA (508 nucleotides) under uncultured bacterium. RNAcentral's name for it is "partial 16S ribosomal RNA". It matches the Rfam family "Bacterial small subunit ribosomal RNA", at positions 28 to 507 of the family's 1533-position model. The record is from RNAcentral.
GACGAACGCUGGCGGCGUGCCUAAUACAUGCAAGUCGAACGCUUCUUUCCUCCCGAGUGCUUGCACUCAAUUGGAAAGAGGAGUGGCUGACGGGUGAGUAACACGUGGGUAACCUACCCAUCAGAGGGGGAUAACACUUGGAAACAGGUGCUAAUACCGCAUAACAGUUUAUGCCGCAUGGCAUAAGAGUGAAAGGCGCUUUCGGGUGUCGCUGAUGGAUGGACCCGCGGUGCAUUAGCUAGUUGGUGAGGUAACGGCUCACCAAGGCCACGAUGCAUAGCCGACCUGAGAGGGUGAUCGGCCACACUGGGACUGAGACACGGCCCAGACUCCUACGGGAGGCAGCAGUAGGGAAUCUUCGGCAAUGGACGAAAGUCUGACCGAGCAACGCCGCGUGAGUGAAGAAGGUCUUCGGAUCGUAAAACUCUGUUGUUAGAGAAGAACAAGGACGUUAGUAACUGAACGUCCGAUGACGGUAUCUAAACAGAAAGCCACGGCUAACUACGUG